AACCCUCGAACCCCUCCGGGGGGUCGGCGUUGGGGAUCGGCCCUCCCUUAGCGGGUGGCCGUCUCCGAAAUACAGUGGCGGUCUCGCCGCAGCCUCUCCUGCGCAGUAGUUUGCACACUCGCAUCGGGAGCGCGGCGCGUCCACAGCCGUUAAACACCCAACUUCUGAAAU
This 171-nucleotide ribosomal RNA is filed under the name Trichoderma harzianum. RNAcentral's name for it is "5.8S ribosomal RNA". The record is from RNAcentral. Lineage: Eukaryota; Fungi; Ascomycota; Sordariomycetes; Hypocreales; Hypocreaceae.